RNAcentral lists this ribosomal RNA (678 nucleotides) under uncultured Bacilli bacterium. RNAcentral describes it as "bacterial SSU rRNA". It matches the Rfam family "Bacterial small subunit ribosomal RNA", at positions 72 to 734 of the family's 1533-position model. The record is from RNAcentral. Lineage: Bacteria; Bacillati; Bacillota; Bacilli.
ACCGGUGCUUGCACUGGUCAAUCUAGUGGCGAACGGGUGAGUAACACGUGGGUAACCUGCCCAUCAGAGGGGGAUAACACUCGGAAACGGAUGCUAAAACCGCAUAGGUCUUCGAACUGCAUGGUUUGAAGAGGAAAAGAGGCGCAAGCUUCUGCUGAUGGAUGGACCCGCGGUGCAUUAGCUAGUUGGUGAGGUAACGGCUCACCAAGGCCGUGAUGCAUAGCCGACCUGAGAGGGUGAUCGGCCACAUUGGGACUGAGACACGGCCCAAACUCCUACGGGAGGCAGCAGUAGGGAAUCUUCCGCAAUGGACGCAAGUCUGACGGAGCAACGCCGCGUGAGUGAAGAAGGUUUUCGGAUCGUAAAACUCUGUUGUUAGAGAAGAACAAGUGCUAGAGUAACUGUUAGCGCCUUGACGGUAUCUAACCAGAAAGCCACGGCUAACUACGUGCCAGCAGCCGCGGUAAUACGUAGGUGGCAAGCGUUGUCCGGAUUUAUUGGGCGUAAAGCGAGCGCAGGCGGUUCCUUAAGUCUGAUGUGAAAGCCCCCGGCUCAACCGGGGAGGGUCAUUGGAAACUGGGGAACUUGAGUGCAGAAGAGGAGAGUGGAAUUCCAUGUGUAGCGGUGAAAUGCGUAGAUAUAUGGAGGAACACCGGUGGCGAAGGCGACUCUCUGGUC